AUACGGAGGAUGCGAGCGUUAUCCGGAUUUAUUGGGUUUAAAGGGAGCGUAGGUGGGAUAUUAAGUCAGCUGUGAAAGUUUGGGGCUCCACCUUAAAAUUGCAGUUGAUACUGGUUUCCUUGAGUACGGUACAGGUGGGCGGAAUUCGUGGUGUAGCGGUGAAAUGCUUAGAUAUCACGAAGAACUCCGAUCGCGAAGGCAGCUCACCGGGCCGGAACUGACACUGAUGCUCGAAAGUGCGGGUAUCAAACAGGAUUAGAUACCCUGGUAGUCCGCACAGUAAACGAUGAAUACUCGCUGUUUGCGAUACACUGUAAGCGGCCAAGCGAAAGCGUUAAGUAUUCCACCUGGGGAGUACGCCGGCAACGGUGAAACUCAAAGGAAUUGGCGGGG
This 393-nucleotide ribosomal RNA is filed under the name uncultured bacterium. RNAcentral describes it as "partial 16S ribosomal RNA". It matches the Rfam family "Bacterial small subunit ribosomal RNA", at positions 523 to 918 of the family's 1533-position model. The record is from RNAcentral.